GUGCAAUCCUUUAUGAAAGGUUAGAAAACAGCUCGCUAACGUUUUAGUCAAAUGAGCCCAGUUUAGAGACAAGUACAGUAUGUCUUUUUUUUGGGGGGGGGGGGGUUGAAUUGUAAUUUUCAAAGUGCUGGAAGUACAGAAUCUUGCGGUUUCAUUCACUGCUUGGGGGAGAUAGCUUCACGUCACCCUCAACUGUGCUACAUGUCUCAAAAGAGACAUGUAGCUAGCUAGCUAGCUAGUUAGCUAGCUAGCUAGAUAUCUCAUCUCCUUGCACAGUGUCGCAAGUGAAACUUGGUUGAGACAGGCAGGAAUUUGUGAGAGGGACAGGAAAAUAAUACUUU
Long non-coding RNA from Hippocampus zosterae (dwarf seahorse), 341 nucleotides. RefSeq lists it as uncharacterized. The transcript has 3 exons. Lineage: Eukaryota; Metazoa; Chordata; Actinopteri; Syngnathiformes; Syngnathidae. The record is from RefSeq and is a predicted model, not a curated record.